AGAGAGUGAGGUACUUAUCAUCCGUGAGGAAUUCUUUUCUCUUCCUUUUUAUUUUUCUCAGUCCCAUCAACAAGUUCUCGAUGACGAAUAUGAAAUCGCAAAGGUCUCAUCGAUUCUCCAAGUUCUUGGACCAGUCAAGCCAUAAGAAAUCUCCUUUCGGGUCACCAGGUACUUGGUGGAGUAAUCAAACGUUGAAAGCAAUGAUAAAAAGCUGGAUAGUGGUACCCGAAAUUUCUCGAGCAUGGAGCCGGGGGAAUCUUUUCGUUUCUUGACGAAGUGAUUCUUUCUCUAGCAGGAGGGAAUGGAGCAUCUCACGGACAAAGCCCUUAAAGCUGGGAAAAAAAAGAAGGUCGGAUUUAAGUAUCAAAGCACUAGCGAGCGACCCUCUUUGCUUUUAGGCAGUGGUGUUUGAGGUCACCAUGCAAGCAAAUCAAAAGUUGGCGAGAUAUUGGUAAUCUA
Selaginella moellendorffii is the source of this 459-nucleotide long non-coding RNA. RefSeq lists it as uncharacterized. The record is from RefSeq and is a predicted model, not a curated record. The transcript is spliced from 2 exons. Lineage: Eukaryota; Viridiplantae; Streptophyta; Lycopodiopsida; Selaginellales; Selaginellaceae.